Molecule: non-coding RNA, 24 nt
Filed under: Arabidopsis thaliana (thale cress)
Lineage: Eukaryota; Viridiplantae; Streptophyta; Magnoliopsida; Brassicales; Brassicaceae
Source: RNAcentral
ACACCUGUUCCAACACAUAAGAUA